GAGUUUGAUCCUGGCUCAGAUUGAACGCUGGCGGCACGCUUUACACAUGCAAGUCGGGCGGCAGCAUGGGGCUUCGGCCCCGAUGGCGAGCGGCGGACGGGUGAGUAAUGCAUGGGAAUGUACCCGAAAGUGGGGGAUAACCCUGGGAAACCAGGGCUAAUACCGCAUGUUUUCUACGGAACAAAGCGGAGGAUCUUCGGACUUCGCGCUUUCGGAGCAGCCCAUGUCCGAUUAGUUUGUUGGCGGGGUAACGGCCCACCAAGACGGCGAUCGGUAGCUGGUCUGAGAGGAUGAUCAGCCACACCGGGACUGAGACACGGCCCGGACUCCUACGGGAGGCAGCAGUGGGGAAUAUUGGACAAUGGGGGCAACCCUGAUCCAGCGAUGCCGCGUGAGUGAAGACGGCCUUCGGGUUGUAAAGCUCUUUCGCGGGGGAAGAAAAAACGCGGAGUAAUACGCCGCGUCCAUGACGGUACCCCGAGAAGAAGCACCGGCUAACUUCGUGCCAGCAGCCGCGGUAAUACGGGGGGUGCAAGCGUUAAUCGGAAUUACUGGGCGUAAAGCGUGCGUAGGCGGUUCUUCAAGUCAGAUGUGAAAUCCCCGGGCUUAACCCGGGAACUGCGUUUGAAACUGGGGGGCUAGAGUUCGGCAGAGGAAGGUGGAAUUCCGCGUGUAGCGGUGAAAUGCGUAGAGAUGCGGAAGAACACUAAUGGCGAAGGCAUCCUUCUGGGCCGAUACUGACGCUGAGUCACGAAAGCGUGGGGAGCAAACAGGAUUAGAUACCCUGGUAGUC
Molecule: ribosomal RNA, 793 nt
Filed under: uncultured bacterium
Lineage: Bacteria
Description: bacterial SSU rRNA
Rfam family: Bacterial small subunit ribosomal RNA
Source: RNAcentral